This 433-nucleotide ribosomal RNA is filed under the name uncultured bacterium. RNAcentral describes it as "bacterial SSU rRNA". It matches the Rfam family "Bacterial small subunit ribosomal RNA", at positions 355 to 772 of the family's 1533-position model. The record is from RNAcentral.
UGGGGAAUCUUGCGCAAUGGCCGCAAGGCUGACGCAGCGACGCCGCGUGGGGGAGGAAGGGCUUCGGCUCGUAAACCCCUGUUGCCCGGGGCGAACAGCAGGUUUCGACCUGCCUGACGGUACCGGGUGAGGAAGCACCGGCUAACUCCGUGCCAGCAGCCCCGGCAAUCCGGAGGGUGCGAGCGUUGUCCGGAAUCACUGGGCGUAAAGGGCGCGUAGGUGGCCGAGCAAGGUCGCGGUGAAAGCCCGGGGCUCAACCCCGGGUCGGCCGUGGCAACUACUCGGCUUGAGCACUGUAGGGGCGGGUGGAAUUCCGGGUGUAGCGGUGGAAUGCGUAGAGAUCCGGAAGAACACCGGUGGCGAAGGCGGCCCGCUGGGCAGGAAGGCUCGCAAGAGCCGGCUGACACUGAGGCGCGACAGCGUGGGGAGCAAA